This 597-nucleotide ribosomal RNA is filed under the name Tricholoma matsutake. RNAcentral's name for it is "eukaryotic LSU rRNA". It matches the Rfam family "Eukaryotic large subunit ribosomal RNA", at positions 48 to 657 of the family's 3401-position model. Lineage: Eukaryota; Fungi; Basidiomycota; Agaricomycetes; Agaricales; Tricholomataceae. The record is from RNAcentral.
UAGCGGAGGAAAAGAAACCAACAGGGAUUGCCUCAGUAACGGCGAGUGAAGCGGCAACAGCUCAAAUUUGAAAUCUGGCCUCUUUGGGGUCCGAGUUGUAAUUUGUAGAGGAUGUUUCGGGUACCGCCUCGGUUUAAAUUUCUUGGAACAGAAUGUCAAAGAGGGUGAGAAUCCCGUCUUGGACCGGCGGUAGGGCCCAUGUGAAACUCCUUCGACGAGUCGAGUUGUUUGGGAAUGCAGCUCAAAAUGGGUGGUAAAUUUCAUCUAAAGCUAAAUAUUGGCCAGAGACCGAUAGCGCACAAGUAGAGUGAUCGAAAGAUGAAAAGCACUUUGAAAAGAGAGUUAAACAGUAUGUGAAAUUGUUGAAAGGGAAGCGCUUACAACCAGACUUGCGCGCGGCGGUUCCCCCUUCCUUUUGGUUGGGCUACUCCGUCGUGUCCAGGCCAACAUCGGUUCUGGGGGUCGGUUAAAGACCCUGGGAAUGUAUCUACCCUUCGGGCGUAGACUUAUAGCUCAGGGUGUCAUGCGACCUCCCGGGACCGAGGAACGCGCUUCGGCUCGGAUGUUGGCGUAAUGGUUGUCAGCGACCCGUCUUGA